Molecule: ribosomal RNA, 476 nt
Filed under: mixed culture ruminal bacterium PAD156
Lineage: Bacteria; Bacillati; Bacillota; Clostridia; Eubacteriales
Description: bacterial SSU rRNA
Rfam family: Bacterial small subunit ribosomal RNA
Source: RNAcentral
GAACGCUGGCGGCGUGCCUAACACAUGCAAGUCGAACGGAGUUUACCGAACGGAAAGUUUUCGGAUGGAAGAUCGGUAAACUUAGUGGCGGACGGGUGAGUAACGCGUGGAUAACCUGCCUCACACAGGGGGAUAACACUUAGAAAUAGGUGCUAAUACCGCAUAAGCGCACAGCUUCGCAUGAAGCAGUGUGAAAGACUCCGGUGGUGUGAGAUGGAUCCGCGUCUGAUUAGCCAGUUGGCGGGGUAACGGCCCACCAAAGCGACGAUCAGUAGCCGGCCUGAGAGGGUGAACGGCCACAUUGGGACUGAGACACGGCCCAAACUCCUACGGGAGGCAGCAGUGGGGGAUAUUGCACAAUGGGGGAAACCCUGAUGCAGCGACGCCGCGUGAGUGAAGAAGUAUUUCGGUAUGUAAAGCUCUAUCAGCAGGGAAGAAAAUGACGGUACCUGACUAAGAAGCUCCGGCUAAAUACG